Molecule: ribosomal RNA, 460 nt
Filed under: uncultured bacterium
Lineage: Bacteria
Description: partial 16S ribosomal RNA
Rfam family: Bacterial small subunit ribosomal RNA
Source: RNAcentral
CCUACGGGAGGCAGCAGUGAGGAAUAUUGGUCAAUGGACGAGAGUCUGAACCAGCCAAGUAGCGUGAAGGAUGACUGCCCUAUGGGUUGUAAACUUCUUUUAUAUGGGAAUAAACCAGGGUAUGCAUACCCUCUUUUAUGUACCAUAUGAAUAAGGAUCGGCUAACUCCGUGCCAUCAGCCGCGGUAAUACGGAGGAUCCGAGCGUUAUCCGGAUUUAUUGGGUUUAAAGUGAGCGUAGGUGGAUUGUUAAGUCAGUUGUGAAAGUUUGCGGCUCAACCGUAAAAUUGCAGUUGAAACUGGCAGUCUGGAGUACAGUAGAGGGGGGCGGAAUUCGGGGUGUAGCGGUGAAAUGCUUAGAUAUCACGAAGAAUUCCGAUGGCGAAGGCAGCUCACUGGACUGCAACUGACACUGAUGUGCGAAAGUGUGGGUAGCAAACAGGAUUAGAUACCCUUGUAGUC